Molecule: long non-coding RNA, 1566 nt
Organism: Mus spicilegus (steppe mouse)
Lineage: Eukaryota; Metazoa; Chordata; Mammalia; Rodentia; Muridae
Source: Ensembl
CUUGGAACCUGCUGGGCCCCAGCUAUCACAUCUAUACACAGGGACUUUCCCAGAUAGCCUGGGAGGCACCACAGAGAGCUCAUAACCAAUUGCUCUUUUUCAUGGCACUCACAAGACACAGCCAUGUGAACUAGAGAGAGAGUUUCCCUUUGCCCAUAGGCUUAUCCUUGUGCACCAGUCAUGGAAGGAAAGACACUCUCACUGUUGGUCUCUCUGAAAGUUGGACAAGGAGCGGUCCAGGCAAAUGAGGUAGAGGACAAAAACAGCGUCUUGAGUCUAAGCUUGAGACCACUUAUCAAAUGCUUGAUCUUGGGGCCUCACAGCAUCAGACAGCAAAAAGCAGAUGGUGCAUUUAAAAGUUCACUUACCCUCUGCCAACAGCAGGUUUGUUUCUUCUCAAGAAGAAAGUUUUGGUCUAUUUUCUUUGGAAAACUGAAAGAAGAAGAAGGAAAGGAAACAGAUUUAGAAAACAACUUGGAGCCAUUUUCUGAAUCACCACAGUUUGUUCUUUCCCCCAGGGGCCACACCCUAGAGUCUUUACCCAUGGCCAUCUGUAACUAGGCUUACAAGGGAACACAGACAGGGCAAGAAGUGAUAGAGGCUUCCUUUUAAGCCCUCUGAGUAACAUCAUGCAGUGGCUACAAUGUCUCAAGUGCUGCCUGGUCCAACCAGCUGCAGGAAAGAACCAAGCUGACCUGAGUGUUGGGCCAGAGGAAGGCUGAACGGUGGAGGCCAUUAACACUGAAAGCAGAAGAGUUCCAGCUCCAUCCCAGUGCAUUAUGGGAGCUUUAAGUCUCCAGAGACUUUGAAUGGAGCUCCGUGGGUCUAGAGGGGAUGUGAAACAAAGCCAUCCCAACAGGUCAUAUUUCAUGCCUGAGUCUCGAGUCUAUCUUAACCUCUUCUUGAUGGUUUAUUGAGAGACAGAAGAUGGUGAGAGAAGCCAUGAGUCAUGAGGCCAUGAAGCCAUGAAGCCAUGAGGCCAUGGAGUCAUGAGGCCAUGUGGAGAGUUUUUGCUGAGGGCCCCACACCAGCCUGAAAGUGUGUUCUCAGAUUUGGGAAGGCCUGCCUCAGCAUGCCUGAGAGAAGACUGUGCAUGCUCAGAUGGCACCCACCCCCAUGGGGCUGUCUGUCAGUCCCAGACCAUGCCGUCUAAGAUAUAAUUUUGGGUUCCGGGAAGAACAAGACUUAACUGAAAAGAUGGCCAGAGACUGUACAAGCGGUGGACUCUGAGACACCCCAACCACACCUCUGACACAAUCUUUAAAAGCAACACGAUAUGAUUUGCUCACACGGGAAGAGCCCCUUUAUCCUCAAGACAGACAAGAGGACAACAGGAAGAGUGACAGGCCUGAGGGAGCCAAGUUCAGAGUCAUACCCAGCAUGCUUCUCAGCUCUGCCACCCCUAACUGAGUGAUUCCAGCCAGGGGAGCCCUCUGCUUGUCUACCUCAUCUGCAUAAUGACCAUGAUCCUGCCAGCUGCUGUGCGCCUCUCUGGGAGUCCUACUAUGUCACUAGGCAUGCAGGAGAGACAAUAAACAGAACAGCCCUGGCUACCCUUUAGCUCCA